CUGAUUUAAUUAAAUGGCCGCAGUAUUCUAACUGUGCAAAGGUAGCAUAAUCAUUAGUUUUUUAAUUGAAAGCUUGUAUGAAUGAUUGGACGAGAUAUUAGCUGUCUCAUAUAAAUAAAUUGAAUUUUAUUUUUUAGUCAAAAAGCUAAAAUAAUUUUAAAAGACGAGAAGACCCUAUAGAUCUUUAUAAUUUUAUUUUUAAUAUUUUUUUAGUUUAAUUAUUAUAUUAAAAAUUAAAUUAUUUUGUUGGGGUGACAGUGAAAUUUAUUUAACUUUUAUUAUUUAAAACCAUAAAUUAAUGAAUUAUUGAUCCUUUACUAUAGAUUAAAAAUUUAAGUUACCUUAGGGAUAACAGCGUAAUUAUUUUGGAGAGUUCUUAUCAAUAAAAUAGGUUGCGACCUCGAUGUUGGAUUAAGAUUAAUUUUUGGUGCAGAAGCUAAAAAUAUUAAGUCUGUUCGACUUUUA
This 465-nucleotide ribosomal RNA is filed under the name Neurigona sp. 2 SNK-2009. Its description in RNAcentral is "partial 16S ribosomal RNA". It matches the Rfam family "Bacterial large subunit ribosomal RNA", at positions 1908 to 2590 of the family's 2925-position model. The record is from RNAcentral. Lineage: Eukaryota; Metazoa; Arthropoda; Insecta; Diptera; Dolichopodidae.